GACGAACGCUGGCGGCGUGCUUAACACAUGCAAGUCGAGCGGUAAGGCCCUUUCGGGGUACGACGAGCGGCGAACGGGUGAGUAACACGUGGGUGACCUGCCCUCAGCUCUGGGAGUAAGCCCGGGAAACUGGGUCUAAUACCGGAUAUGACUCCAUGACGCAUGUUGUGGGGUGGAAAGCCUUGUGCGGCUGAGGAUGGGCCCGCGGCCUAUCAGCUUGUUGGUGGGGUGAUGGCCACCAAGGCGACGACGGGUAGCCGGCCUGAGAGGGCGACCGGCCACACUGGGACUGAGAUACGGCCCAGACUCCUACGGGAGGCAGCAGUGGGGAAUCUUGCGCAAUGGGCGAAAGCCUGACGCAGCGACGCCGCGUGAGGGAUGACGGCCU
Molecule: ribosomal RNA, 388 nt
Filed under: uncultured bacterium
Lineage: Bacteria
Description: bacterial SSU rRNA
Rfam family: Bacterial small subunit ribosomal RNA
Source: RNAcentral